This 3852-nucleotide long non-coding RNA is filed under the name Citrus maxima (pomelo). Its description in RNAcentral is "long non-coding RNA (CMAX_LNC001821)". The record is from RNAcentral. Lineage: Eukaryota; Viridiplantae; Streptophyta; Magnoliopsida; Sapindales; Rutaceae.
CUUGGACAAUGGGCGAAAGCCCGAUCCAGCAAUAUCGCGUGAGUGAAGAAGGGCAAUGCCGCUUGUAAAGCUCUUUCGUCGAGUGCGCGAUCAUGACAGGACUCGAGGAAGAAGCCCCAGCUAACUCCGCUAGAGAGUUGGGAAACUGAAGAAACUUCAUCCUUGCUUGGGCACCAAAGCUUGAUUGAAGCUAGUAAAAUCUCUAAACCCCAAUCCUCUUCUGCUUUUUGCAUGGCUGAGCUUGUCCCAUCUUAUUCAAUGAAUGCCAUUGCCAUGUUUAUUUUGAUUCCUACCAAAACUUCGCUAUAGCCCUUUAGAUGUCAUCACAUAAACCCCUUGGAAGUUUGAAACACUCAUUGCGUAUAUUGGUAUUGCUUGGGCUAAUUUAGGAUUGCCACGGUUGAUGAAAUAAGUUGUUUUUACAAUUUUGGAUAAAAACUUGUUUAGUCUCUAUAUUAUGAAUUAGUGAUUGUUUAGUACUUAUAUUUUUUAAAAUAGCUCAAAACAUCCCAACCAUUAAACUAUUGACAUCCCUACUGUUUUUUUUUUUUUUUUUUGCUUGCUUUUACAAUAUUAUCAUCUUACAGUAAUUUUUUUGGGACAUUAAUAUGAGAAAAAUUAAAGUACCAAUUUAGCACCCAAAAAAUUAAAAACAUAUAUAUUAAUUUUUGUGGAAGCUCACAUAUGUCUAAAAAAAUUAAAUUACCAGUUUUUCAGAAAUUAAUAAAAAAUAAUAUAUUAACUCCUCAACAGAGUGUUCCACAAAAAUUAAUUUAUAUUCCUUUUGUUGCUAUUUUAUUUUUUGGGGUUAAGUUGGCAAUUUAUUUUUUUAUUAAUGUCCAAAAAAAGAAACAAAAUUGGAAGAAGAUAAUAUUGUAAAAGCAAUUCAAAAGGUACAAAAAGUAACGACAGGGAUGUCAAUAAUUUAAUAGUAAGAAUAUUUUGAAGUAUUUUUUAAAAUACAUAAAUUAUACGGGCACUAACCUCAAAAUAUAAGAAAUAAAAGAAAUUUUACCCUACAAUAAUGCUAUAUGAAUGAAAUAAAGUGUUGAUAUAAAGUGUGAUUGAAAAAGUAACUUGGCAUUUGAUAUAUUCUGUUGUUAAAGUUAUUGUGAGUUUGAAAAGAAAAAUACGUAUUUUCAGUAAAUUUUAUCACGAAAAUAAUAUUUUAUUAUAUAAUGGCUAAAAAGACAAAAUUUAUUCUUAUUUAUAUAUUGAGGUUUAUAAACAAUAAAACAUAUAUAAUAAUUAUUUUAUUAAAAUAUUAAGGUUAUAGUAUAAAUUUAAAAAAGAUGUGGCGGUUUAUUUAGUAAGUUAUAAAUAACAUCCCCUACGUGCUUUUAAGAAUCACUGUCAAAAUAAAAAAAACUUGUAGAGUAUUUUUACCAAAACUUAUCAAAUAAGCAGUUUAUGACAUUUUAACCUUAAUCCGAAACGUACCUUAAUUGUUGCUUAUCAUACAAUUAAAAGGUUAUAGUAUUGAUAUCAUUAGAUAAUCUUUUGCUGUAUAUAUACUCUUCUGCAGACCGCCUCCACGUUCUUUCGCCAUCAAAGAAUAACAACACACAAGAGUUUGACUCUUCUAACUCUUCUAAGCAUUUGGCUAAACGAUGUCGGCAAACACCGAUUUAGACAAUACGACGUCGCCUUUGUUAGAGGCUGGUGGUGAUGAUGAUCACGGAGAAGAAGAAGCAACCAGCAUCAGGAGGCGGUGGUGGAAACGAGUUUUGGACUUGGAAGAGGCCAAGAAUCAAGUGGUGUUUUCGCUACCCAUGAUUCUUGCUAAUGUUUUUUAUUAUGCAAUUCCUUUGGUUUCUGUCAUGUCUGCUGGCCACCUUGGCCAGCUUGAGCUUGCUGGUGCCACACUUGCCAACUCUUGGGCCACCGUCACAGGAUUCGCUUUCAUGGUAACCACACUUUCUCUUUAUUUCUUUUGAAUCUGCCGCUGAUAGCUCAUCAAGUUUCUACAGAUUUCAUAUAAAGUUUUCUGUUCCUGAAUACAACAAAUUAAAUCAUUAGAAAGAGUAUUUUUAUGCCAGAAAUCUAUCUGAUCAGCUGCGUGCAGACAUAUUAUUGUACGCGUGAUUAGCUACAUGUCAUUUAUUUCAUUGACUGGUGUCUCAAAGUCCUGGACAAAUGAAAUCGUGACAUGUGGCCUGUCUGGUGCUUAAUUUUUUUUCUUUUAAUAAAGUGCUUAUAUUAUUUCUUGUUAAUUACAAUGGACAUUAUUUUACCCCCCAAAAAAAAAAAUAUUGUGAUGGAAUAUGAUUGUUUCGAGCAUUUGAAGUAAUGUGCAGGAGGGAUAUUUAUAAACUAAAUUAAUCGUGCAUAAAAUGAAAAGAGUAAGUUGAUAAUAAUGCUCAGGUCCAGACGUCUAAAAUCCAGACUUGAAAUAGAAUCAGAGUGUAACUACAGCACCAUUGAUUUAGUUCAAAUCCAGAAAUCCAGACCUGAGAAUGACUCAUUGAUCUAAUUUAAAGUUUUAAACUUAAGCAAUCACAAAAAAUACAAUUUGUAUGGCACAUGAUCAUUGACCAAAACCAACACAAGAGUGAUUUUGGGGAGAAAUUCUUGCAGUUGAAAAUCCCUUAGAUGAAGCUUGAACUUCUACUAAGUUUGCCCCCAGGGAUUGUGCUGGUAUUAAUGAAGAUUGAAUGCUUGAUUGAUUGUGCAUUUGUGCUGGUUAACAGGGUCUUAAUUUUUUUUUUUUUUUCCCCAAGAUGGGACAAAUGACUUGUUUUUCUGAGAACUGACAUAAGUGUGUGACUAGAUUCUGUUUGGACUCAAUUUUCACCGGGCUCUUUUCUUGAACUUGAACAUUUUCAUCUCUGUUCUUGUCCAAAGAUAGGAUUAAGUGGAGCACUUGAAACACUUUGCGGUCAAGGAUUUGGUGCAAAACAUUACAGGAUGUUGGGAAUAUAUCUGCAAGCAUCUUGGAUUACAUCAUUAUUUUUCUCAAUCAUCAUAUCUUUCUUGUGGAUCUACACAGAACCAAUACUUAUUUUACUUCAUCAAGAUCCCAGCAUAUCAAAACAAGCAGCUCUCUACAUGAAGUAUCUCAUUCCCGGUCUAGUUGCAUACGGGGUUAUACAGAACAUCCUAAGGUUUCUUCAGACACAAUCCAUAGUCAUUCCCUUGAUCUUCUUCUCAGCUCUCCCAAUGGCAAUUCAUUUUGGCAUUGCAUAUGCUUUUGUAUAUUUGACAUCCCUUGGUUUUAAGGGAGCUUCACUAGCAGCUUCAGUUUCGUUAUGGAUAUCGAUGCUUAUGCUGGUAACUUAUGUCCUUUGUGCAAAAAAGUUUGAGCAUACGUGGGAAGGAUUUUCUUUUGAAUCAUUCAGUUUCAUCCUCACCAUCUUAAAACUAGCCCUGCCCUCUGCAGCAAUGGUAUGGUAAGUCCCAAGUGUAACCGAAUUUUCAUUCAUCAUAGCAUUUUAAAUCUUGCGACUCAUUUUUGUUUCAUACUUUUUCAGCCUCGAGUACUGGGCUUUUGAGAUUCUAGUGUUCCUAGCAGGAUUGAUGCCUAACUCAGAACUGACUACUUCAUUGAUCGCAAUGUGGUAAGUUUAUUGUUCUUUUUGAUAAUAUUUAUCCUAAAUUGCUUCAGCCUUGACUUGAGUUUCUUUCUUUUCUGAUUGAAUGAUCUCACAGUGUAAAUACCGAAUCUGUUGCCUACAUGAUUACUUAUGGUCUUAGUGCUGCUGCAAGGUCAGUAGUAUAUGUGUAUAACUUCUAGUUCUUCAGUUUUUGCAUUUUUUGUUCGGGAAACUGAAAAACCUGUACCUCUUCACAGCACAAGGGUGUCAAAUGAAUUGGGAGCAGGGAAUCCCGACCAAGCCAAGAAUGCCAUGGCUG